AACGUAGGUGGCAAGCGUUAUCCGGAAUUACUGGGCGUAAAGGGUGUGCAGGCGGCUCUUUGCGUCGGUGGUGAAAUCUCCUGGCUUAACUGGGAGGGGGCCAUCGAUACGGGGGAGCUUGAGGGCUAGAGAGGGAAGUAGAACUCCCGGUGGACCAGUGAAAUGGGUAGAUAUCGGGAAGAAUACCUGAGGUGAAGACGGCUUCCUGGCUAGCACCUGACGCUCAUACACGAAAGCUUGGGGAGCAAACAGG
This 253-nucleotide ribosomal RNA is filed under the name uncultured bacterium. RNAcentral describes it as "partial 16S ribosomal RNA". It matches the Rfam family "Bacterial small subunit ribosomal RNA", at positions 524 to 776 of the family's 1533-position model. The record is from RNAcentral.